This 1804-nucleotide ribosomal RNA is filed under the name Capsicum annuum. RNAcentral describes it as "bacterial SSU rRNA". It matches the Rfam family "Eukaryotic small subunit ribosomal RNA". The record is from RNAcentral. RNAcentral also lists the same sequence under 1 other name. Lineage: Eukaryota; Viridiplantae; Streptophyta; Magnoliopsida; Solanales; Solanaceae.
GCGAGUUAUCAGCUCGUGUUGACUACGUCCCUGCCCUUUUACACACCACCCAUUGCUCCUACCAAUUGAAUGAUCCGAUGAAAUGUUCGGAUUGCUGCAAAGUAGGCGGUUUGCUGCUCGCGACAUCGCAAAAUGUCCAUUGAACCUUAUUAUUUAGAGGAAGGAGAAUUCGCAAUAAGGUUUUCGUAGGAGCACUGAAAGGGAUGAAUUUAUUAGAUAAAAGGUCGAUGCGGGCUCUGCCCGUUGCUACGAUGAUUCAUGAUAACUCGACGAAUUGCACGACCAUCGUGUCGGUGAUGCAUCAUUGAAAUUUCUAUCCUAUCAUGUUUCGAUGGUAGGAUAGUAGCCUACCAUAUUGGUGACGGGUGAAGAAGAAUUAGGGUUCAAUUUCGGAGAGGGAGACUGAGAAAUGACUACCACAUCCAAGGAAGGCAGCAGGUGCUUAAAUUACCCAAUCCUGACAUGGGGAGGUAGUGACACUAAAUAACAAUCCUGGGAUCAAUGAGUUUGGUAAUUAGAAUGAGUACAAUCUAAAUCCCUUAAUAAGGAUCCAUUGGAGGGAGAGUCUGGUGCCAGCAGCCUCGGUAAUUCCCACACCAAUAGCGUAUAUUUAAGUUGUUGCAGUUAAAAAGCUCGAAGUUGGACUUUGGGAUUAUCUGGCCAGUCCGCCUAUGGUGUGUAUUGGUCAUCUCGUCCCUUCUAUCGGUGAUGUGCUCCUGGCCGUAGCUGACCGGGGUCGUGCCUCCGGCGCUGUUACUUUGAAAAAUUAGAGUCGUUAAAGCAAGCCUAUGCUCUGUAUACAUUAGCAUAGGAUAACAUUAUAGGAUUUCGGUCCGAUUACGUUGUCCUUUGAGAUCGAAGUAAUGAUUAAUAGGGAAAGUCGGGGGCAUUCGUAUUUCAUAGUCAGAGGUGAAAUUAUUGUAUUUAUGAAAUAUGAACAACUGUGAAAGAAUUUUCCAAGGAUAUUUUCAUUAAUCAAGAAUGAAAGUUGGGGGCUCGAAGGCGGUUAGAUACCGUCCUAGUCUCAACCAUAAAUGAUGCCGACCAGGGAUCGGCAGAUGUUGCUUUUAGGACUCCGCCGGCACCUUAUGAGAAAUCAAAGUUUUUGGAUUCCAAGUAGAGUAUUGUUGCAAGGCUGAAACUUAACGGAACUGACGGAAGGGCACCACAAGGAGUGGAGCCUGCGGCUUAAUGUGACUCAACACGGGAAACUUACGAUGUCCAGACAUAGUAAGGAUUGACAGACUGAGAGAUCUUUCUUGAUUCUAUGGGUGGUGGUGCAUGGUCAUUCUUAGUUGGUGGAGUGAUUUAUCUGGAUAAUUCCGUUAACAAACAAAACCUCAGCCUGCUAACUAGCUAUGCGGAGGAAUCCCUUCAUGGCCAGCUUCUUAGAUGGACUACGACCUUUUAGGCCAUGGAAGUUUGAGGCAAUAACAGGUUUUUGAUGCCCUUAGAUGUUCUGGGCCGCACACGUGCUACACUAAUGUAUUCAAUGAGUUUAUACCCUUGGCCGACAGGCCCUGGUAAUCUUUGAAAUUUCAUCGUGAUGGGGAUAGAUCAUUGCAAUUAUUGGUCUUCAACGAGGAAUUCCUAGUAAGCGCGAUUCAUCAGCUCGCGUUGACUACGUCCCUGCCCAUAGUACGCACCGCCCGUCUCUCCUACCGAUUGAAUGAACUGGUGAAAUAUUCGGGUUGCGGCGAUAUGGGCAUUUCACUGCCCGCAUCAUCGCAAAAAGUCCAUUAAACCUUAUCAUUUAGAGGAAGGAGAAUUCGUAACAAGGUUUCCGUAGGUGAACCUGUGAAAG